RNAcentral lists this ribosomal RNA (533 nucleotides) under uncultured bacterium. Its description in RNAcentral is "bacterial SSU rRNA". It matches the Rfam family "Bacterial small subunit ribosomal RNA", at positions 355 to 902 of the family's 1533-position model. The record is from RNAcentral.
UUAGGAAUUUUGGGCAAUGGGCGAAAGCCUGACCCAGCAACGCCGCGUGGGUGACGAAGGCCUUCGGGUUGUAAAGCCCUUUUCUGGGGGAAGAUGAUGACGGUACCCCAGGAAGAAGCACCGGCUAACUACGUGCCAGCAGCCGCGGUAAUACGUAGGGUGCAAGCGUUGCCCGGAUUUAUUGGGCGUAAAGGGCGCGCAGGCGGCCACGCGCGUCCGCUGUGAAAUCGCUCGGGCUCAACUGAGCGGGGACGGCGGAAACGGCGUGGCUGGAGCAAGCUAGGGGGCAGUGGAAUUCCCGGUGUAGUGGUGGAAUGCGUAGAUAUCGGGAGGAACACCAGUGGCGAAGGCGACUGCCUGGAGCUUUGCUGACGCUGAGGCGCGAAAGCGUGGGGAGCGAUCCGGAUUAGAUACCCGGGUAGUCCACGCCGUAAACGAUGCGGACUAGGUGUCGGGGGUAUCGACCCCCUCGGCGCCGCAGCUAACGCACUAAGUCCGCCGCCUGGGGACUACGGCCGCAAGGCUAAAAACUC